UGUCCAGUAGCACCUUAGAGACCAACUAAGUUUGUUCUUGGUAUAAGCUUUCAUGUUUAAGCUUUCAUGCACACAAGAACAAACUUAGCUGGUCUCUAAGGUGCUACUGGACU
Molecule: microRNA precursor, 113 nt
Filed under: Podarcis lilfordi (Lilford's wall lizard)
Lineage: Eukaryota; Metazoa; Chordata; Lepidosauria; Squamata; Lacertidae
Source: RNAcentral